This 253-nucleotide ribosomal RNA is filed under the name uncultured prokaryote. RNAcentral describes it as "partial 16S ribosomal RNA". It matches the Rfam family "Bacterial small subunit ribosomal RNA", at positions 524 to 776 of the family's 1533-position model. The record is from RNAcentral.
UACGUAGGGCGCGAGCGUUGUCCGGAAUUAUUGGGCGUAAAGAGCUCGUAGGCGGCCGGUUGCGUCUGCUGUGAAAUCCCGGGGCUUAACCCCGGGCGUGCAGUGGAUACGGGCCGGCUGGAGGCAGGCAGGGGAGAAUGGAAUUCCCGGUGUAGCGGUGAAAUGCGUAGAUAUCGGAAGGAACACCAGUGGCGAAAGCGGCUUCCUGGUCCAGCACCGACGUUCAGGCACGAAAGCGUGGGGAGCAAACAGG